AAGUCCAUGGGAUCCUUUAAAUUGAAUGUGUUAUCAGUAGUCAAACCUCCAGUCUCAAUACCAUCAGCCUCUCGCUGUCUGCUGAAUCCAUUUUCCACAAAAUCAUCACUAUGUUCCCCAGCACGAGGAAAGCCUCCCUCUACUUUAGACAGGAAAUUAUCACAUGAAGUCUUGCUUUUGCUAAUCACAGACUUCAUAUUACUGCUAAUUUUCUCUGAGUAAUCUGAAUUUGUGAUUAUGGAGGAGCGCUCCAGAAUGGAAUCACUCUCAGUAUGUUGGGAUUUCUUCAGGAGGCACUUUUUACCAUUGUUUGAUGGGGCAAACUCGGGGAUAAAAACACUUUCUUCACAG
This 351-nucleotide unclassified non-coding RNA is filed under the name Hevea brasiliensis (rubber tree). The record is from RNAcentral. Lineage: Eukaryota; Viridiplantae; Streptophyta; Magnoliopsida; Malpighiales; Euphorbiaceae.